AACGAACGCUGGCGGCAUGCCUAACACAUGCAAGUCGAACGAGAUCUUCGGGUCUAGUGGCGCACGGGUGCGUAACGCGUGGGAAUCUGCCCUUUGGCUCGGAAUAACAGUUGGAAACGACUACUAAUACCGGAUGAUGACGAAAGUCCAAAGAUUUAUCGCCAGAGGAUGAGCCCGCGUAGGAUUAGCUAGUUGGUGUGGUAAAGGCGCACCAAGGCGACGAUCCUUAGCUGGUCUGAGAGGAUGAUCAGCCACACUGGGACUGAGACACGGCCCAGACUCCUACGGGAGGCAGCAGUGGGGAAUAUUGGAAAAUGGGCGAAAGCCUGAUCCAGCAAUGCCGCGUGAGUGAUGAAGGCCUUAGGGUUGUAAAGCUCUUUUACCCGGGAUGAUAAUGACAGCACCGGGAGAAUAAGCUCCGGCUAACUCCGUGCCAGCCGCCGCCGUAA
RNAcentral lists this ribosomal RNA (449 nucleotides) under uncultured bacterium. Its description in RNAcentral is "partial 16S ribosomal RNA". It matches the Rfam family "Bacterial small subunit ribosomal RNA", at positions 29 to 523 of the family's 1533-position model. The record is from RNAcentral.